Molecule: unclassified non-coding RNA, 763 nt
Filed under: Hevea brasiliensis (rubber tree)
Lineage: Eukaryota; Viridiplantae; Streptophyta; Magnoliopsida; Malpighiales; Euphorbiaceae
Source: RNAcentral
GGUGGUUUGGUGUGGAAGGGACUGGUAGCUGUUUUCCAGAAACUUUACUGCUUUAGUAGUUUAGUUACAUCUGGAGUUGGCAUAGGAUUUACCAUGGGAUGGAUCUAAUGCUUAUGUACCACUGAAUGGAGGACAAACCUUAUUAAUGGACAUUUCACUUAAUGAGGGAUGUCUAAAUGCCAUUCUAUAUCUCAUUUACUUAUCAUGCUGCUUAAUGACGAUGAAAUUCAAAGUCCAAUUCAUCUUCUUCAUCCUAUUACCUUUUCCCAUAUGCCAUAGUUCUUAUGCGGGCUGAGUAGGAGCUGAUAGUGACAUUUUGAAACUCAAUAUGCAACAUGUCUCCCUCCUGCAACAAAACAAAUACUAUGCACAAAUUCAUAUAGACUAGUCAACUACUGCACUUUUUUUCCCCUCCAAAUGAGGAGGUAGACAUAUUUGUAAAUAUGAGUUUCUUGUGGCAACAUUUUGAUGAACAUAAUAAUUAGAGAAAUUAUUUGUAAUAUGUUUAUGUAGAAAGUCAGUUAUAUCUGGCUGAAUUUUUUUUAUGGAACUUAUCUCACUGGUGUCAAUGUUGCAAACCUGUGGAUUUACUUGUGAGGCUUGCCAUCCCUAUUCAUAUUUAAGUAAUUAUUUAUUUUGUAUUUAAGAAUUAUAUAUUUAUAAAGUGUUUAAAUUUUUAUAUAAUUAUAAUUAUUUAAGUAUAAAGCUUAUAAUCAUUACUUAAAAGUAUUUAAAUAUGCACACACACACACACAAAUAUAUA